AUUUCGUUUUCAUUUGCAACAGUUUCAUGAAACAGUAGCUGACGUAGAAUGGAAACUAAUUUUUUAUACUUCUCGGUCUCUGUUUGCUCGUCAAUUGUUCCGAUGCAUAAGUUGAAUAGGACUUUCAAAACUUCACAGGCAACAGACACCUCGUUACCUUGAGAAUAGGUUCAGUUGUAGUCUUGUACUUUCUUGCGAUAUCGGCAAGUAUCUCUAUAAGAUGAACAUCACCAUUGAGCUCGUUCUUAACAAUAUUUCUAGUGUUAAUACAGAGAGCAGUGACAAGGAAAAGAAGCCUCAGGUGGAACAGUAUUCCCUCAUGUGUUAAUUCAUUUCGGUGUUUACUUAUUCGUUGAAUAGCAUGUGAGAGGCAAGAUGUCUGUAUGAUAAAGGUCCUCACCUGCUUACUAUUAUAUAUCAAAUUACAUAGGAGUUUUAACGCUUCGACCAUGCCUGCAAACAACA
RNAcentral lists this unclassified non-coding RNA (465 nucleotides) under Athalia rosae (coleseed sawfly). RNAcentral describes it as "misc RNA ENSAEAG00005006486.1". Lineage: Eukaryota; Metazoa; Arthropoda; Insecta; Hymenoptera; Athaliidae. The record is from RNAcentral.